UAACCUAUACUAGUGUUUUCUUUGAACAGAAAGAAAACAGUACAGCCAGUCUUGAUUUAAUUGUGGCACUUCCUAUAAUCUACCUAGUCCAAAACAACAACAAAAAAUUUCAAAGUUCAGUACAGUUCCCCAUGAAAUGAAAGUUGCAUCAGUGGCUAUCAAGAACUCAAAAGAAAAUACAAACAUUAAGUCUGGCAAGGAUUUAUUAGGAAGCUUAUUAGUCACAGUGAAUAAAAGCCAUGAAAAGAAGAACUCAAAUCUCCAAAUUCUGGCAUCGGACUUACAACACUAGUUAGAAGCUAAUAAACAUUAAGGAAUUUCCAAGGGGAAUCUUAACUAAGUCUCAAUCUUACUGACCAGAUUACCCACACACAUAGAAAUGAUCCCCAUGCUCUCCCCAGACUGCUUAGCUAGGCAGUGGAAAAGACCUUCUCCCCAAGCUUAAGCUAUCACGCAUCAGCAGGAGACUCCUGUCCUUCUAGCUAUAACCACAGGACACAUGUGCGUGACAGACAACUCCAAGCUGGGCAACUUGACAAGAAUGCUGAACAAUGAGAGGGGAAAGGAGCAAGCAGGAACAAGUGUUUUAGUUGGAGACCCUCCUGAUGGCUACUACUAACACAAUCCGGAGGCAUCAGAAAGUUUCCUAUAGCCCACAAAUAGUUUCCUUUAAAAAAACAAAAACAAAAACAAAAAAACAAGUCACACAACAAUCUUGCCACAAAGCAACAUGACACUUGGAAUCACAUGGCCACAUUAACUGGAAAAGCAAGUGUUACCCAUGACUGCCAGAUGCCACCCAGCCCAAGACCCAAUUUCCACAGCGCCCUAGAGAACCACGAUGGUCCCCUGGCACCUACACAACCCUCCCAGUGGUGUCGUAUCUUCCGUAGGCCAGGUUUCUGCAGCAAGCCCCAAAGACAAAGCUUGGCAGAGGCUGUGGCAGCCAACUCUCUCUGGAGCCUCAUCCCUUUGUCCUUCCCAACAGGUAGUCGUACAUCUUCACUGACACAGCGCCUCUAUGGGAGCCUUGGCCAGCCCUUAGGAAAUAAAGUGUGUCUGUGGGGUAACCUGAUGGACCCUAUGGUCUGCUGGGUUGGCAGAUGCUUCGUAAUUGCAGAUGGUCACCUCGUGUCG
This 1137-nucleotide long non-coding RNA is filed under the name Homo sapiens (human). RNAcentral's name for it is "HSALNT0003218". Lineage: Eukaryota; Metazoa; Chordata; Mammalia; Primates; Hominidae. The record is from RNAcentral.